ACAGGUUUGAGGCCAUGGCAGAAGUGCUUACAGUGUAGCCUUGUCAGAUUCUGACAAAUCUGCAAAUUCUGCU
This 73-nucleotide ribozyme is filed under the name Crocodylus porosus (Australian saltwater crocodile). Its description in RNAcentral is "Mammalian CPEB3 ribozyme (ENSCPRG00005002662.1)". It matches the Rfam family "Mammalian CPEB3 ribozyme". Rfam says of the family: The mammalian CPEB3 ribozyme is a self cleaving RNA located in the second intron of the CPEB3 gene which belongs to a family of genes regulating messenger RNA polyadenylation. The record is from Rfam by way of RNAcentral. Lineage: Eukaryota; Metazoa; Chordata; Crocodylia; Crocodylidae.